UACGAAGGGGGCUAGCGUUGUUCGGAAUUACUGGGCGUAAGGCGCGCGCAGGUGGUCUUUCAAGUCAGUGGUGAAAGCCCGGAGCUCAACUCCGGAAAUGCCAUUGAAACUGUAAGACUUGAGGAUGAGAGAGGUGAGUGGAAUUCCCAGUGUAGAGGUGAAAUUCGUAGAUAUUGGGAAGAACACCGGUGGCGAAGGCGGCUCACUGGCUCAUAUCUGACGCUCAGGCGCGACAGCGUGGGGAUCAAACAGG
Molecule: ribosomal RNA, 253 nt
Filed under: uncultured bacterium
Lineage: Bacteria
Description: partial 16S ribosomal RNA
Rfam family: Bacterial small subunit ribosomal RNA
Source: RNAcentral